CGGGAACAGCGGGUCAGGCAGGUUCCCGGUACUGCGUCAAUGGCCUCAUGGCAGCGAUGUCGUCAUGCGGGGAGUGGUGAGCCGGCGAGGGUAGCCAGACGCCCGUGCUGAAGUGCACUGCCGACCUUGACUCUCGGAUCACCACGUUGCUGCCCUCGUCGUCGAUCCCUGGGGCGUAAGUCUUGCUUGCUCCGUUAACGAGCCCAUCUCACGGACGUCCUCGCUGCCGCAUCACCUGCCGACGCCAUUCUGUUCUCUACUACACGUCGCUGCAACUCCGUGUCCGCCGCCUCGUCCGCUGGUGACUGCCGUCUGACGUCCUCGCUGCAUCUCGUCUCACUCACCACACCUGCUGCCCUGGUGACCCUGGCAAGAAUGGUCCUACCUUGCCUGUCGAACCUCGUGACGCCAUCUUCCUCUCCCGAAAUGACGAAUUCUUUGCGCCAACGACGUGAUCCUGAUCCUUUCAAGACCUAGUUCUCACGAUGCUCCGCUCAAUCCUCGUCUCCAUCGCAAACAACUUGUUCCAGAAUCUUGUAGACCGGUGUGCGUGUCAUUUACAAGUUAACUGUGUCUUCCAGCGAUCCUGUGGGACGAUUGACGAGCUCCGUGACCGAUCACCACUGUUGCUCCCGUCAAAACCACCUUCGCUUCGGAAUAGUAUCCUGUGUGAACAAGCUCCGUAGGCAGCCGACCUUAGAAGUCACCUGUGCGACCUUCUUUCCUCCUCGCCUGCAAGGACCGAGACUCCUUGCAUCACCGCCGUCGAGACUUCAUCUUCAGCACCACCCACCACAGCCAAGACGAUCCUGGUUAGGUGACCGAGCGAUAUAGUGACCUGUUCUCGUGAUCUCUCUCGCAUCGCAGAAAAGCCAUAUGUUUCUAAUCUUACAGUAACUCCACUGUCUUCCGCCGACUCCAACAGGUCCAUGACGUAGUAGUGACCUUAGAACACGCUAAACUAACCCUUAUUGCGCGUGGGCAAUACCCUUGUUGUUAUUCUGAUGUCUUUGUGUAUAACUAUAUCGUGUUUAUACUCAUAAUGUUCGUUAGAAAAUGCUUAUUCUGAAUCAUUAAGUAUGUUAUCGCUAUUAUUAUCUAUAUUCAAAUGUUUUUAUGUUUAAUGAAUACUCAGCAUAUCUGUCUCCUUAUCACGAGGCUUUUUAGUCUUGUAAACACCAUAACUCUCUUCUUACAUACAACAGUAUAUAAGGUACCCUUGUUCCUUCACCACGAAACCAUCAUGUGACCAUAUGUACUUCAAUUUGUGUAUAUUCAAAUUAUUUCAUGUUUUCCAUUAUCAAAUCUUUUAAAACAGAACGACCUGUAUAGACUGCUCAGAAAUUGGUCUAUAAAAAAUUAUGUUUGUUUAUCAAAAAUUAAAAAUAUG
Molecule: long non-coding RNA, 1390 nt
Organism: Penaeus indicus
Lineage: Eukaryota; Metazoa; Arthropoda; Malacostraca; Decapoda; Penaeidae
Exons: 2
Source: RefSeq, a predicted model, not a curated record